Molecule: transfer RNA, 69 nt
Filed under: Ovis aries (sheep)
Lineage: Eukaryota; Metazoa; Chordata; Mammalia; Artiodactyla; Bovidae
Rfam family: tRNA
About the family: Transfer RNA (tRNA) molecules are approximately 80 nucleotides in length.
Source: Rfam by way of RNAcentral
CCUGACGUCUCAGCAGGAAAAGAAUCUGCCUGCAAUGCAGGAGAUGCAGGUUCAAUUCCUGAGUCAGGA